Molecule: ribosomal RNA, 308 nt
Filed under: uncultured bacterium
Lineage: Bacteria
Description: bacterial SSU rRNA
Rfam family: Bacterial small subunit ribosomal RNA
Source: RNAcentral
AUUGAACGCUGGCGGCAGGCUUAACACAUGCAAGUCGAACGGUAACAGAACUAGCUUGCUAGUUGCUGACGAGUGGCGGACGGGUGAGUAACGCGUAGGAAUCUACCGAGUAGUGGGGGACAACAGUUGGAAACGACUGCUAAUACCGCAUAAUGCCUACGGGCCAAAGAGGGGGACCUUCGGGCCUCUCGCGUCAAGAUAUGCCUAGGUGGGAUUAGCUAGUUGGUGAGGUAAUGGCUCACCAAGGCGACGAUCCCUAGCUGGUCUGAGAGGAUGAUCAGCCACACUGGAACUGAGACACGGUCCAG